UUGGACUAUGGUUGAGGUUGUUACCUUCAGAGAAGAGUUCAUUGGGAGUUUUAAA
This 55-nucleotide transfer RNA is filed under the name Pallisentis celatus. RNAcentral's name for it is "tRNA-Asn". The record is from RNAcentral. Lineage: Eukaryota; Metazoa; Acanthocephala; Eoacanthocephala; Gyracanthocephala; Quadrigyridae.